UUAAAGUUUUAUUCUUGCUUAAUUAUUUAUUUUUUCUUUGUGUUAUAUGCGAGUUUUGUUUAAACUAAAUGUUCUUUUUGCAGUGAUUUUAUUUAAUUAUCAAAUUAUUUUGGAAUUAGCAAUUGAAUUAGUAUUGGCAUAAUUCGUGCCAGCAGCCGCGGUUAUACGAUUGAUACAAGUAAAUAUUUUUGGUUAAAAUAGUUAUUAUUAUUGUUGGGAUUAAUUAUAAAUUUUUGAGGUGAAAUUUUAUAUUUUUUUAUAUCUCUACUUAUGAAUCUGUGAAACUUAAAUAAUAAACUAGGAUUAGAUACCCUAUUAUUUUAAUUGUUAAUUUGUUUACCAGGGUAGUAUUAGUUAUGAUCUUUAAACCCAUAGAAUUUGGCGGUACCUUAUUCCAUUUAGAGGAACCUACCCCGUAAUUGAUAGUACACGAUUAACUUUACUUAAUUUUUGUUUGUAUAUCUCCGUUAUCAGGAAAUCUUUUUAGAGUUAUAAUUUUCUUAAUUUAUAAUUAUAAAUUAUUUCAGGUCAAGGUGCAGCUUUAAUUAAGUGGAGGUGGGUUACAAUAAAUUUUUGUUUAUUAUGAAUUUAUUAUUGAAAUAUUAAUAAUGAAGGUGGAUUUAAUAGUAAUUUAAUUUAUUUAAUUUAUUUGAAAUUGGCUCUGAGGUGUGUACACAUCGCCCGUCACUCUCAUCAUUGUUUAUUAUGUUUAUUUAUUUUAUUUCAAUUUAGAUGAGAUAAGUCGUAACAUAGUAGAUGUACUGGAAAGUGUAUCUAGUAAGUUU
Molecule: non-coding RNA, 785 nt
Filed under: Petamella prosternalis
Lineage: Eukaryota; Metazoa; Arthropoda; Insecta; Orthoptera; Acrididae
Description: 12S ribosomal RNA
Rfam family: Microsporidia small subunit ribosomal RNA (bases 343-777)
Source: RNAcentral